RNAcentral lists this ribosomal RNA (437 nucleotides) under uncultured Methylophaga sp. Its description in RNAcentral is "bacterial SSU rRNA". It matches the Rfam family "Bacterial small subunit ribosomal RNA", at positions 534 to 973 of the family's 1533-position model. The record is from RNAcentral. Lineage: Bacteria; Pseudomonadati; Pseudomonadota; Gammaproteobacteria; Thiotrichales; Piscirickettsiaceae.
GCGAAGGUAUCGGAUUACUGGGCGUAAGCGCGCGUAGGCGGUUUAUUAAGUCAGAUGUGAAAGCCCCGGGCUCAACCUGGGAAUUGCAUUUGAGACUGGUAGGCUAGAGUGUGGUAGAGGUGAGUGGAAUUUCAGGUGUAGCGGUGAAAUGCGUAGAGAUCUGAAGGAACAUCAGUGGCGAAGGCGACUCACUGGGCCAUUACUGACGCUGAGGUGCGAAAGCGUGGGUAGCAAACAGGAUUAGAUACCCUGGUAGUCCACGCCCUAAACGAUGUCAACUAGGUGUAUGGAGAAUCUAUUCUUUGUGUAUCGAAGCUAACGCGGUAAGUUGACCGCCUGGGGAGUACGGUCGCAAGACUAAAACUCAAAUGAAUUGACGGGGGCCCGCUCAAGCGGUGGAGCAUGUGGUUUAAUUCGAUGCAACGCGAAGAAGCGUG